This 492-nucleotide ribosomal RNA is filed under the name uncultured bacterium. Its description in RNAcentral is "partial 16S ribosomal RNA". It matches the Rfam family "Bacterial small subunit ribosomal RNA", at positions 29 to 507 of the family's 1533-position model. The record is from RNAcentral.
AGUGAACGCUGGCGGUAGGCCUAACACAUGCAAGUCGAACGGCAGCACAGUAAGAGCUUGCUCUUACGGGUGGCGAGUGGCGGACGGGUGAGGAAUACAUCGGAAUCUACUUUUUCGUGGGGGAUAACGUAGGGAAACUUACGCUAAUACCGCAUACGACCUACGGGUGAAAGCAGGGGAUCUUCGGACCUUGCGCGAUUGAAUGAGCCGAUGUCGGAUUAGCUAGUUGGCGGGGUAAAGGCCCACCAAGGCGACGAUCCGUAGCUGGUCUGAGAGGAUGAUCAGCCACACUGGAACUGAGGCACGGUCCAGACUCCUACGGGAGGCAGCAGUGGGGAAUAUUGGACAAUGGGCGUAAGCCUGAUCCAGCCAUACCGCGUGGGUGAAGAAGGCCUUCGGGUUGUAAAGCCCUUUUGUUGGGAAAGAAAAGCAGCAGGUUAAUACCCCGCUGUUCUGACGGUACCCAAAGAAUAAGCACCGGCUAACUUCGUG